UUCAGGUGUCCGUUGGCCAUUGGCUGCGGGAGAAUCGGGAAGACGGUGUAACUCCGUCGCGUGCCCAACGCUGUAAGGACGAUGCCUCGCGCAAAUAUUAGGUUUCCUAUCCCCGUGGCCGCAGCAGCAUCAGCAGCAACGCCACCCCAGCAAACCCAAUGCCCGCCAGGAAGGUGG
RNAcentral lists this non-coding RNA (177 nucleotides) under Comamonadaceae bacterium. The record is from RNAcentral. Lineage: Bacteria; Pseudomonadati; Pseudomonadota; Betaproteobacteria; Burkholderiales; Comamonadaceae.